Molecule: ribosomal RNA, 231 nt
Filed under: uncultured bacterium
Lineage: Bacteria
Description: partial 16S ribosomal RNA
Rfam family: Bacterial small subunit ribosomal RNA
Source: RNAcentral
CGGGUGCGUAACGCGUAUGCAAUCUACCUUUUACAGAGGGAUAGCCCAGAGAAAUUUGGAUUAAUACCUCAUAGUAUGUGAGAAUCGCAUGGUUUUCACAUUAAAGUUCCAACGGUAAAAGAUGAGCAUGCGUCCCAUUAGCUAGAUGGUAAGGUAACGGCUUACCAUGGCGACGAUGGGCAGGGGUCCUGAGAGGGAGAUCCCCCACACUGGUACUGAGACACGGACCAG